UUAAACAUAAAGGUCCUGAUCAUCCUAGA
RNAcentral lists this non-coding RNA (29 nucleotides) under Rattus norvegicus (Norway rat). The record is from RNAcentral. Lineage: Eukaryota; Metazoa; Chordata; Mammalia; Rodentia; Muridae.